UGAGGAAUAUUGGUCAAUGGGCGAGAGCCUGAACCAGCCAAGUAGCGUGCAGGAUGACGGCCCUAUGGGUUGUAAACUGCUUUUAUGUGGGGAUAAAGUGCGUGACGUGUCAUGCAUUGCAGGUACCACAUGAAUAAGGACCGGCUAAUUCCGUGCCAGCAGCCGCGGUAAUACGGAAGGUCCGGGCGUUAUCCGGAUUUAUUGGGUUUAAAGGGAGCGUAGGCUGUCUAUUAAGCGUGUUGUGAAAUUUACCGGCUCAACCGGUGGCUUGGAGGGCGAACUGGUCGACUUAAGUAUGCAGGAAGUAGGCGGAAUUCAUGGUGUAGCGGUGAAAUGCUUAGAUAUCAUGACGAACUCCGAUUGCGCAGGCAGCUUACUGUAGCAUAACUGACGCUGAUGCUCGAAAGGGCGGGUAUCAAACAGG
This 424-nucleotide ribosomal RNA is filed under the name Fusobacteriota bacterium. Its description in RNAcentral is "Fusobacteria bacterium partial 16S ribosomal RNA". It matches the Rfam family "Bacterial small subunit ribosomal RNA", at positions 355 to 776 of the family's 1533-position model. Lineage: Bacteria; Fusobacteriati; Fusobacteriota. The record is from RNAcentral.